AUACCCCAGGUCAGGCGGGGCUACCCGCUGAGUUUAAGCAUAUAAAUAAGCGGAGGAGAAGAAACUUACGAGGAUUCCCCUAGUAACGGCGAGCGAACCGGGAACAGCCCAGCCUUAGAAUCGCGGCGGCCACGCCGCCCGA
This 142-nucleotide ribosomal RNA is filed under the name Schoenoplectus tabernaemontani. RNAcentral's name for it is "partial 28S ribosomal RNA". It matches the Rfam family "Eukaryotic large subunit ribosomal RNA", at positions 1 to 141 of the family's 3401-position model. The record is from RNAcentral. Lineage: Eukaryota; Viridiplantae; Streptophyta; Magnoliopsida; Poales; Cyperaceae.